Molecule: long non-coding RNA, 452 nt
Organism: Motacilla alba alba
Lineage: Eukaryota; Metazoa; Chordata; Aves; Passeriformes; Motacillidae
Exons: 5
Source: RefSeq, a predicted model, not a curated record
UGUUGACUAUCGCUGUCCAAGCCAGGGCGGCGGAGCCCAGGGCGCCUGCGGCAGCCCCGAGCCCGGGGCCAGGCCGGCCAUGAGGGCGCUUCCCCGGCGUGCGCCGGCAGGCCCGAGCCUCUGCCGGGGCCAGGCGGACACUGAAGGCAGAAGUGGGGGAUUGAGCUGUGCAGAGACCUGAAGUUCAGGCUGCAGCUGACAGUGAAGAGGUGUGUGAUGUGGGCAGUUGUCUGGUUUGCUCCACCAUGCCUGGCUCUCUAGCAAAUAAUGGGCACUGUGGAGGCAGAAGUGGGGUUUGAGCCUUUAGGAGACCUGAAGUUCAGGCUGCAGCUGACAGUGAAGAGGUGUGGAUGAGGGCAUUGCCUGGUUUGCUCCACCAUGUGUGCCCCUUUGUCAGGGGAGAACGGUUGAGAUUUAUAAAAAGUUGUCCUGGGCCCCGCUGGAGUUUAAGA